Molecule: RNase P RNA, 324 nt
Filed under: Subdoligranulum variabile
Lineage: Bacteria; Bacillati; Bacillota; Clostridia; Eubacteriales; Oscillospiraceae
Description: Bacterial RNase P class A
Rfam family: Bacterial RNase P class A
About the family: Ribonuclease P (RNase P) is a ubiquitous endoribonuclease, found in archaea, bacteria and eukarya as well as chloroplasts and mitochondria. Its best characterised activity is the generation of mature 5'-ends of tRNAs by cleaving the 5'-leader elements of precursor-tRNAs. Cellular RNase Ps are ribonucleoproteins.
Source: RNAcentral
UACGGCGGCGGGACAGUUCGCAAGAACUGCCUGAGGAAAGUCCGGGCUUCACAGAGGCAUAGCAACUGCUAACGGCAGCCGGGGGCGACCCCAGGGAUAGUGCACCAGAAAGAAACCGCCCGCUUUGCGGGUAAGGAUGGAAAGGCGAGGUAAGAGCUCACCAGCGCACUGGCGACUUUGCGGCUAUGUAAACCCUGCUUGAAGCAACAUCCGUAUGGGACAUUAUGCGGAGCCUCGCGCGUCCCGGUGAUGGCGUGAGCCUUGCGGCAACGUAAGGCCAAGAUAGAUCGUCGUUUGAUACAGAACCCGGCUUACGGUCCAGUC